RNAcentral lists this ribosomal RNA (1129 nucleotides) under uncultured archaeon. Its description in RNAcentral is "bacterial SSU rRNA". It matches the Rfam family "Archaeal small subunit ribosomal RNA", at positions 322 to 1448 of the family's 1478-position model. The record is from RNAcentral.
CCUACGGGGCGCAGCAGGUGCGAAAAUUCCGCAAUGUGCGCAAGCGCGACGGAGUGACUCCCAGUGUCGAUGGUCUAACGACCGUCGGCUUUUCUGGAAUGUAAAAAGUUCCAGGUAAUAAGGGCCGGGUAAGACUGGUGCCAGCCGCCGCGGUAACACCAGCGGCUCAAGUGGUAGCCGAUUUUAUUGGGCCUAAAGCGUCCGUAGCCGGACCGGCAAGCCCCUUGUGAAAUCGGGCGGCUUAACCGCUCGGCUUGCAGGGGGAACUGUUGGUCUUGGGGUCGGCAGGCGUCGAGGGUACUCCGGGGGUAGCGGUGAAAUGCUAUAAUCCCUGGGGGACCGCCAGUGCGAAAGCGCUCGGCGGGGCCGAACCCGACGGUGAGGGACGAAAGCCAGAGGAGCGAACCGGAUUAGAUACCCGGGUAGUUCUGGCCGCAAAGAAUGUGGGCUAGGUGCUUGGUGUUCCUCGAGAACACUAGGUGCCGAAGGGAAGCCGUUAAGCCCACCGCCUGGGAAUUACGGCCGCAAGGCUGAAACUUAAAGAAAUUGGCGGGGGAGCACCACAAGGGGUGGAGCCUGCGGUUUAAUUGGAUUCAACGCCGGACACCUCACCGGGGGCGACGGCAGAGUGAAGGCCAAGCUGACGACUUUGCCGGACUUGCCGAGAGGUGGUGCAUGGCCGCCGUCAGCUCGUAUCGUGAGACGUCCUGUUAAGUCAGGCAACGAGCGAGACCCUUUCCUCUAGUUACCAGCGGAUUCCACUGGAAUGCCGGGCACUCUAGAGGCACCGCUGCCGAUAAGGUAGAGGAAGGAGAGGGCGACGGUAGGUCCGUAUGCCCCGAAUCCCCCGGGCAACACGCGGGCUACAAUGCGUAGGGCAGAGGGCUGCGAUCCCGAGAGGGAGAGCCAAUCCCUAAACCUGCGCUUAGUUCGGAUCGAGGGCUGCAACCCGCCCUCGUGAAGCUGGAAUCCCUAGUAACUGUGUGUCACUAUCGCACGGUGAAUACGUCCCUGCUCCUUGCACACACCGCCCGUCAAGCCAUCCGGGUGGGAUCUGGAUGAGGCCUGCCCAGUUUGAGUAGGUCAAAUCCGGGUUUCGCAAGGAGGGCUAAGUCGUAACAAGGUAACC